RNAcentral lists this transfer RNA (86 nucleotides) under Nematostella vectensis (starlet sea anemone). It matches the Rfam family "tRNA". Rfam says of the family: Transfer RNA (tRNA) molecules are approximately 80 nucleotides in length. Their secondary structure includes four short double-helical elements and three loops (D, anti-codon, and T loops). Further hydrogen bonds mediate the characteristic L-shaped molecular structure. tRNAs have two regions of fundamental functional importance: the anti-codon, which is responsible for specific mRNA codon recognition, and the 3' end, to which the tRNAs corresponding amino acid is attached (by aminoacyl-tRNA synthetases). tRNAs cope with the degeneracy of the genetic code in two manners: having more than one tRNA (with a specific anti-codon) for a particular amino acid; and 'wobble' base-pairing, i.e. permitting non-standard base-pairing at the 3rd anti-codon position. Lineage: Eukaryota; Metazoa; Cnidaria; Anthozoa; Actiniaria; Edwardsiidae. The record is from Rfam by way of RNAcentral.
CCUUCGAUAGCACAGUUGGUAGAGCGGGGGACUGUAGAUUUAUAAUUGUGAUCCCUAGGUCGCUGGUUCGAAUCCGGCUCGAAGAA